RNAcentral lists this ribosomal RNA (331 nucleotides) under uncultured eukaryote. Its description in RNAcentral is "partial 18S ribosomal RNA". It matches the Rfam family "Eukaryotic small subunit ribosomal RNA", at positions 1470 to 1796 of the family's 1831-position model. The record is from RNAcentral.
CCCUUAGAUGUUCUGGGCCGCACGCGCGCUACACUGACGAAGUCAGCGAGCAUGUCCUACGCCGACAGGUGCGGGGAAUCUUGUCAAACUUCGUCGUGAUGGGGAUUGAUUUUUGAAAUUCUUGAUCAUAAACGAGGAAUUCCUAGUAAGCGCAAGCCAGCAGCUUGCGUUGAUUACGUCCCUGCCCUUUGUACACACCGCCCGUCGCUACUACCGAUUGAAUGGUUUAGUGAGAUCUUCGGAUUGGCGCCACUGCAGCUCAGCAAUGGGCUUGGUGGAUGCCGAAAAGUUGAUCAAACUUGAUCAUUUAGAGGAAGUAAAAGUCGUAACA